GAGAACCUAGUAAAUACUAUAUUACAUAGCUCUGUCGCAGCUAAAUAACAAACUCUGUGGCUCUCC
RNAcentral lists this transfer RNA (66 nucleotides) under Anilius scytale (false coral snake). RNAcentral's name for it is "tRNA-Asp". The record is from RNAcentral. Lineage: Eukaryota; Metazoa; Chordata; Lepidosauria; Squamata; Aniliidae.